This 497-nucleotide ribosomal RNA is filed under the name uncultured bacterium. Its description in RNAcentral is "partial 16S ribosomal RNA". It matches the Rfam family "Bacterial small subunit ribosomal RNA", at positions 28 to 507 of the family's 1533-position model. The record is from RNAcentral.
GACGAACGCUGGCGGCGUGCCUAAUACAUGCAAGUAGAACGCUGAAGAGAGGAGCUUGCUCUUCUUGGAUGAGUUGCGAACGGGUGAGUAACGCGUAGGUAACCUGCCUUGUAGCGGGGGAUAACUAUUGGAAACGAUAGCUAAUACCGCAUAACAAUGGAUGACACAUGCCAUUUAUUUGAAAGGGGCAACUGCUCCACUACAAGAUGGACCUGCGUUGUAUUAGCUAGUAGGUGAGGUAAUGGCUCACCUAGGCGACGAUACAUAGCCGACCUGAGAGGGUGAUCGGCCACACUGGGACUGAGACACGGCCCAGACUCCUACGGGAGGCAGCAGUAGGGAAUCUUCGGCAAUGGGGGCAACCCUGACCGAGCAACGCCGCGUGAGUGAAGAAGGUUUUCGGAUCGUAAAGCUCUGUUGUAAGUCAAGAACGGGUGUGAGAGUGGAAAGUUCACACUGUGACGGUAGCUUACCAGAAAGGGACGGCUAACUACGUG